AUAGUAAUCUGGUUGAUCCUGCCAGUAGUCAUAUGCUUGUCUCAAAGAUUAAGCCAUGCACGUCUAAGUAUAAAUGUUAUACAGUGAAACUGCGAAUGGCUCAUUAAAACAGUUAUAGUUUAUUUGAUAAUCGAAUUUUACAUGGAUACCCGUGGUAAUUCUAGAGCUAAUACAUGCUGUCUGCCUGACUUCUGGAAGGGCUGUAUUUAUUAGAUAACAAAUCAAUAUUCCUCGUGUCUAUUCUGAUGAUUCAUAAUAACUGAUCGGAUCGCAUGGGCUUUGCCAGCGACAAAUCAUUCAAGUUUCUGCCCCAUCAGCUUUCGAUGGUAGUGUAUUGGACUACCAUGGCUUUAACGGGUAACGGGGGAUUAGGGUUCGAUUCCGGAGAGGGAGCCUGAGAAACGGCUACCACAUCUAUGGAAGGCAGCAGGCGCGUAAAUUACCCAAUCCUAAUUCAGGGAGGUAGUGACAAGAAAUAACGGACCGGAGCUUUUGUUCCGGGAUUGCAAUGAGUUGAAUUUAAACCCCUUGACGAGGAUCAAUUGGAGGGCAAGUCUGGUGCCAGCAGCCGCGGUAAUUCCAGCUCCAAUAGCAUAUAUUAAAGUUGUUGCAGUUAAAAAGCUCGUAGUUGGAUUUCUGGGAGGGAACUGAUGUCCGCUUGUUAGCGUGUGCAAAAGUUCCCUCCCAUCCUUCUGUUAACGAUUCUUGGUAUUCACUUACUGGUUUCGAGCU
This 732-nucleotide ribosomal RNA is filed under the name Bdellovibrionales bacterium. RNAcentral's name for it is "SSU rRNA". It matches the Rfam family "Eukaryotic small subunit ribosomal RNA", at positions 1 to 737 of the family's 1831-position model. Lineage: Bacteria; Pseudomonadati; Bdellovibrionota; Bdellovibrionia; Bdellovibrionales. The record is from RNAcentral.